AUCCAUUCAGACACUAUCCAGCUAUGGCCAGGAAGCUGAAGCCCUCAGACUGAGGCAUCCUGCUGAGAGGCCCGUGGUCCCCAGGACACAGAGCUCAGAGCUGUCUGUGUGCCCCAAGGAGGACAUGCGGCAGGCAGGUUGACAGGCCCCCAUGUGGCCUACCCCCUGGGGCCUCCUGUCCUAGGGUUCUCAGCCCAGAUCCCAUAAUUCAGAUCAGUCCUUGAUUCCACAGGGGCUUCCUGGCGGUCAGGGUCAAGCAGCUUUUCUUGUCUGUGAUGCCAGUUUGCGGCCUCGUGUGUAUGGGGGACAGGUGUAGGUGUUGUGUGUGGCAGGUGUGGGCCUGAGCCCUGCCGGUUCAGCAGACACUGUCAGGUGCAGUUUUGGGUUGCAAGUCUUGGAGCAGCUUGGAAAGGCAGUGCACAUGAUUCCUUUAGGAAGAGGGGAGAGCUUCCAGAAACAGUUCUGAAAAUCAGAGAUCCUUAUUGCCCUCCCUAGGUGCUGGAGUUUUUUUCUCCACGGUUCUAAAACCAGCGUGCUCCAUUCAGCAACCAUCACUACAUUUUUUCAACCAUCCCUUCUUCUCCCCCAGGCCUUUCAUCUAGAAGGCUUUAUCUAUGAGAGACAAAGCGUUUUUAUAUGAAUUAAGCAGAAUGGUAUAUAGUGCUCAGAAAUUGCUCAGGAUGAGAGUCUGAAUUUUCAAACAUUUUCGAAGUGCAUUUGCACAGUCUCUCACUCCGUUUGUCCUCACCAUUGAGUAGCCUGGAAAAGAUCCGUCCCUUUCUGGGGACGGCUGUUUUUUAAUAAUCAAACUGCCUUCCCAGGGCACAUGUACCAGGAGGAAGGUGAGGGAGGAAGAGGAAAGGAAGGUGAAGAAGGGCUCUCAGUUGUUUCAAAUGGCAGCUGAUGCUAAUUUUGGUUUAAGAACAACUUUUUUUUUUCUUCUUUUUUUUGGCCAAACCCAAGCCAUGUGGAAAUUCCCAGGCUGGGAAACGAACCCAAGCCGCAAUUGUGACUUGUGCCACAGCUGCAGGAACGCCACAUCCUUUACCUGCUGCACCACAAGGGAACUUUCAGAGCAACUUUGCUUUUUAAAACCCAAAAAGUGGAGUUCCUGUCGUGGCUUAGCAGAAAUGAAUCUGACUAGUAUUCAUGAGGUUCGAUCCCUGGCCUCGCCCAGCGGGUUAGGGAUCCAGUGUUGCUGUGAGCUGAGGUGCAGUUGCAGGUCGCAGACAUGGCUUGGAUCCUGCGUUGCUGUGGCUGUGGUGUAGGCUGGCAGCUGUAGAUCCAAUUCAACCCCUAGCCUGGGAACUUCCAUAUGCCGCAGGUGCGGCCCUGAAAAGCAAAACAAAAAAAAA
RNAcentral lists this long non-coding RNA (1355 nucleotides) under Sus scrofa (pig). RNAcentral's name for it is "lncRNA (ENSSSCG00045023305.1)". The record is from RNAcentral. Lineage: Eukaryota; Metazoa; Chordata; Mammalia; Artiodactyla; Suidae.